RNAcentral lists this transfer RNA (76 nucleotides) under Chloroflexota bacterium. RNAcentral describes it as "Chloroflexi bacterium (groundwater metagenome) tRNA-Thr". It matches the Rfam family "tRNA". Rfam says of the family: Transfer RNA (tRNA) molecules are approximately 80 nucleotides in length. Their secondary structure includes four short double-helical elements and three loops (D, anti-codon, and T loops). The record is from RNAcentral. Lineage: Bacteria; Bacillati; Chloroflexota.
GCCCACAUAGCUCAGCAGGCAGAGCACGUUCUUGGUAAGAACGAGGUCACCGGUUCGAUUCCGGUUGUGGGCUCCA